This 497-nucleotide ribosomal RNA is filed under the name uncultured bacterium. Its description in RNAcentral is "partial 16S ribosomal RNA". It matches the Rfam family "Bacterial small subunit ribosomal RNA", at positions 28 to 507 of the family's 1533-position model. The record is from RNAcentral.
GAUGAACGCUGGCGGCGUGCCUAAUACAUGCAAGUCGAGCGAACGGACGAGAAGCUUGCUUCUCUGAUGUUAGCGGCGGACGGGUGAGUAACACGUGGAUAACCUACCUAUAAGAUUGGGAUAACUUCGGGAAACCGUAGCUAAUACCGGAUAAUAUUUUGGACCGCAUGGUUCAAAAGUGAAAGACGGUCUUGCUGUCACUUAUAGAUGGAUCCGCGCUGCAUUAGCUAGUUGGUAAGGUAACGGCUUACCAAGGCAACGAUGCAUAGCCGACCUGAGAGGGUGAUAGGCCACACUGGAACUGAGACACGGUCCAGACUCCUACGGGAGGCAGCAGUAGGGAAUCUUCCGCAAUGGGCGAAAGCCUGACGGAGCAACGCCGCGUGAGUGAUGAAGGUCUUCGGAUCGUAAAACUUUGUUAUUAGGGAAGAACAUAUGUGUAAGUAACUGUGCACAUCUUGACGGUACCUAAUCAGAAAGCCACGGCUAACUACGUG